CGGACCCUACGGGACGCAGCAGUGGGGAAUAUUGCACAAUGGGGGAAACCCUGAUGCAGCAACGCCGCGUGAGUGAAGAAGGGUUUCGGCUCGUAAAGCUCUGUUGGUAGUGAAGAGAGAUAGAGGUAGUAACUGGCCUUUAUUUGACGGUAAUUACUUAGAAAGUCACGGCUAACUACGUGCCAGCAGCCGCGGUAAUACGUAGGUGGCGAGCGUUAUCCGGAAUGAUUGGGCGUAAAGGGUGCGUAGGCGGCCUGCUAAGUCUGGAGUGAAAGGGACCGGCUCAACCGG
This 291-nucleotide ribosomal RNA is filed under the name uncultured bacterium. RNAcentral's name for it is "partial 16S ribosomal RNA". It matches the Rfam family "Bacterial small subunit ribosomal RNA", at positions 332 to 616 of the family's 1533-position model. The record is from RNAcentral.